GGGAGGCAGAGUAAGAUGUAGGGCUAGCUUCCAAAAGGAGAAUGACUCUUGGAUGAUUGUCACUUCCUGAGAAGUAGUGCUAUAUGGCUAGAGACUCUAUCUGCAGCUGGUGGUGUAAGGAUGCACCAAGAUACACUGGAGCGCCCAGCUUAUCCCUGCUCUGUUUUGGUG
Long non-coding RNA from Lagopus leucura (white-tailed ptarmigan), 171 nucleotides. RefSeq lists it as uncharacterized. The transcript is spliced from 3 exons. The record is from RefSeq and is a predicted model, not a curated record. NCBI's taxonomy places the organism in Eukaryota, Metazoa, Chordata, Aves, Galliformes, Phasianidae.